Molecule: long non-coding RNA, 1703 nt
Organism: Globicephala melas (long-finned pilot whale)
Lineage: Eukaryota; Metazoa; Chordata; Mammalia; Artiodactyla; Delphinidae
Source: RefSeq, a predicted model, not a curated record
UGCAAGAUCUUCAAGCUGUUUCUUUCCGGGUCCAGUGCCUGCUGCGAGCAACGCGCUGUUGUAGGGGCGAAGCCAAGAACUACUUCUCGUGGAGCUGAGGUUCAGCGGUGUGUGUGUGGGACACUCACAAUAAACAUCAUAAAUAAGUAAAUUCUAUAAGAGGCUGCGUAGCAAAAUGGAGUCUGCGUUUCAAUCCCAGAUUUUCCACUUACUAGCUGUGUUACCCCGAGCAAAUUGCUUCAUCCUUAUGUGCUUCACUUUCCUCCUCAGUUAAAUGAGGAUCAUCAUAGUGUCUACUUAAGAGUUGGUGUGAGAGUUGAAUGAGGAUACUCUCUGUGAGCCCAGCUGCUAUGUUGUGAGGAAGCCCAAGCCACGUGAGGAGUCUCCCAGAUAAGGUCCCAGCUGAAACCAGCAUCAACCACCAGAGAAGUGAGUGAACAUUGAGAUGAUUCCGGCCCCCAGGCUUUGAGCCGUCCCAGCUGACACCAAGAGGAGGAGAGAGAGAACUGUUCCCAUCAAGCCCGGCCCAAACUGAGAGAAAUUCUGGAGUCUGGGGAGAAAAAGGAUGGCCCUGCUACUGGCGUUCUAAGCCUAGGGAUGCAAGGACCACUCUGGGGACCGGAUUCAUUUCCUGCACCUCCACAUCUAAAGGAUUUUCUAGGAAAAUGAGUAUUUGCCAGGCCCCCCAUGUGGGGAGGGGACGGAUUUCUGGGUAAUCUCUCGAUAUGAACUACUUGCACGCCUUGGCUGCUGGGUCCUGAGCCCCCCACCUGAAUGAGCGCGUGGGAGACGCUGGCAGUGGCCACGUGAAGGCAGAAGAAACGACUAAACUUCCUGCCCCGGGUGACAAAGACAGGGUCUGCUUUGUGAAGAGACCAGAAGAAAAUUCCACCAAGAAAGCCGUCUGGGGAGGGGGACGUGGACAAAAUGCUAUUAUAUACCGAACAAUUAAAUGUAGGGGAGCGAGCGGGGGGCGCAUAAGGCCACUCCAGACGUGAUCCGUGCGUAAUCACAUUGAGGAUUAAAAUGAAAAUAUGCGAUUCCAGUGACUUUCACAUUUCCCCCCCCUUCCCCGAACAUGAUUCCGAAAUACAAUAUUUUUCCCUCUCACCCUCCUCCAUCCUUAAUUGCCAGUUGAUUGUUCUCAGCGUUCUUCGCAAACCCACGCCCCAGCAUCAGCCACUGGCGCCAAUUUAUAUAAGAAUUUAGCUUCGGUCUGCGCUGCGGCUGCUUUGAACCGGGGUGCUGGGAAAAAACCUGCUUUCGGCUGAAGUCUCAGGGCUGUUGGGGGCUCCCUGGGGAAGCAGAAGAAAACCCCACUUGCAUUUGAGACUUGGGCCUUGGUGGGUAGAGUGGGGGCCGGCCAGGGAGGGGAUGAGGGACCAGGGAUGGUUCGCUCUGGGGCUGCCUGGCCCCCGGGAGAAGCGCCUCGGGCCCCUCUGACGGCUACUCUUCUGCGGAGGACGACGCAGGACUCUCCUCAUCCGACAUCGGGGCAAACUGAAACGAGAGGCAGAAUUCCUUUUGUUUGGCAUCCUUUCCUGUGCUAUGAGGCGCCGACUUUGUUGGCUGGCCCCGCGCCUGCCGUGAGUGAACAAGAGGCCUUGGUUCCUUGGCCUCGAGGAGGUGACGUUGGGGAGAUGCUUCGGAGCAGCUCACAGAUGAAUGCAGUGGAGGGUUUUUCCUGAGGGAUAGGGGGUGGA